RNAcentral lists this non-coding RNA (45 nucleotides) under Trichobilharzia regenti. Lineage: Eukaryota; Metazoa; Platyhelminthes; Trematoda; Strigeidida; Schistosomatidae. The record is from RNAcentral.
AUCCAGAUGAUAAGUCCCAAACAGGACGAUAUACUCAUCCUGGAU